This 380-nucleotide ribosomal RNA is filed under the name Parajulis poecilepterus. RNAcentral's name for it is "SSU rRNA". It matches the Rfam family "Eukaryotic small subunit ribosomal RNA", at positions 1221 to 1620 of the family's 1831-position model. Lineage: Eukaryota; Metazoa; Chordata; Actinopteri; Labriformes; Labridae. The record is from RNAcentral.
GGUCCGGACACGGAAAGGAUUGACAGACUGAGGGCUCUUUCUCGAUUCCGUGGGUGGUGGUGCAUGGCCGUUCUUAGUUGGUGGAGCGAUUUGUCUGGUUAAUUCCGAUAACGAGCGAGACUCUGGCAUGCUAACUAGUUACGCGGCCCCCCGCGGCCCGCGUCCAACUUCUUAGAGGGACCGGUGGCGCGCAGCCACACGAGAGUGAGCAAUAACAGGUCUGUGAUGCCCUUAGAUGUCCGGGGCCGCACGCGUGCUACAAUGACUGGGUCAGCGUGCGCGGUCCCCUUCGCCGACAGGCGUGGGUAAUCCGCUGAACCCCACUCGUGAUAGGGACUGGGGACUGCAAUUGUUCCCCACCAACGAGGAAUUCCCAGUAA